GAGGGAACUACAAUAUAGGUCCGAAGAUCAAAUAUUAGUCAAUGUUAAUUAUUGUUUUGUUCCACUUAAAAAUAAAUAAAUAAAGAAAUAAAUGAAUAAAAAAUAAAUAAAUAAUUAUAAAUGAAUAAAAAUAAUAAUAAUAAUAAUAAUAUAGCAUUUAAUUACUAUGUUUGUUCUAGAAUGUAGUUUAAUUGCGAGUCGGUGUUUAACUGCAGUUCUGUUCUAUUCAUGAUAAAUACUUAGAUACUGUGAUGUGGUUUAAAUACAGGUCAGUGAUUUAACUGCUGUUUUGUUCUACUCGUGAAAAUUAGUAAGAUAUUAGGAUGUAAUUUAAAUGCAAGUCAGCGAUUUAACUGCUGUUUUGUUAUACUCACGAUAAAUAUUUUGAUACUCACUAAGUAUGUAGUGUAAAUACAGGUCAGUGAUUUCACUGCUGUUUUGUUCUACUCUUACAAUUAAAAAUACCGUAAGGAACAUGUUAAUUCCCACAUUGACAGGUCAGUGAAUACCUGCUGUUGGAUAUCUAAAUACUCCUCGUCUGACUUUGCUUACUUGCUGGCUCAAUAAACAAUAUUUUUCGAUAUGUCAUUUUCUCUGAAAUUAGUUUUCUUCCAUACUUACAUGUAUUACUCAAUAUUGUUAUUUAUUAACAUUGCUCGGAGAUUAUAUUAAUACCGGUAUUUCCUCCAUUAUUUGACAUGUAACUACAUUUUAGUGAUAACUGGUAAUGGAAUAAUUAAUGAAAGGUAGAAUUUUGUUUUUCAUUUCAUUACUUUAAGAUGUUUGGAGAGGCCAGUGAUUAACUGCCUUCAUAUAGAUUUGAUUUGUGCAAGCUCACCUUGGAUGGCACGGAUGUGAUUUGCAUGUCACAUCUUACAUGGAUGUGACCUGCAUAUCACAUCUUGUGGCCUAUUUUAUUUUGAUGUGCCAUCUAUUUGCUAACUUUUUAAUAUGAUGUUUUGAUUGUCUUGUCUUACAGAUACUUUUUUAUAGUCAGUUUUGGGGGAUCAGACAUUAUCAUAUUUUACGUAACUGAUAAGCAAAGCUUGUGAAUCUGAUCCCCCUUCUUGUUUGUUAAAUUGUUCACAUUUAUACCGUCAUUUUAAUAAAUGACAUUUUUCAUCAACAUCAAAGUGUUUUAUUUGACUUUUACAAAAUUAGCAAAAACAAGCUGCGGUGAUCUUGCCUAUAAGCAUUAGAAGACAUAAAACAGCAAUUAUUAGAAUAAUAAUUGUAUUUAUGUAUUUAAUGCGAUAAUUUGUUUGGAGGUUUUCGGAAACAUUUACGUUGGUAAAUUGUGAAAAUUCUCAGAUCCACGCCUUGCCUAAUUGUAAUGGAAUGUGUAAGGUCACGUGGUCAGCUCAGCGAGUCAUUCACACUCGCGCGCUCACCACCGCUAACAUGAAGCACGUCUAUUUUGAAGACCCACCUCCACCCCAACAUUCCUAUCCCUUAAUAUGAUCAUUAAUGUGUCAUGUAAAAUUUAUAUUAUAUUAUAGUUUUUACUCAAUUGUUUUACGCUUUCAUGUAUUUGGUUUUGAUUAUGAUCUUUUUGCAAACUUUUUCUUUUGAGGUUUUGUUUGUGUCUUUGAUGUACCAUCUUUUUGCCAACUUUUUCUUGUGAUGUUUGCCUAUUUUAUUUUGAUGUGCCAUCUAUUUGCUAACUUUUUAAUAUGAUGUUUUGAUUGUCUUGUCUUACAGAUACUUUUUUAUAGUCAGUUUUGGGGGAUCAGACAUUAUCAUAUUUUACGUAACUGAUAAGCAAAGCUUGUGAAUCUGAUCCCCCUUCUUGUUUGUUAAAUUGUUCACAUUUAUACCGUCAUUUUAAUAAAUGACAUUUUUCAUCAACAUCAAA
Long non-coding RNA from Saccostrea cuccullata (small rock oyster), 1855 nucleotides. RefSeq lists it as uncharacterized. The record is from RefSeq and is a predicted model, not a curated record. NCBI's taxonomy places the organism in Eukaryota, Metazoa, Mollusca, Bivalvia, Ostreida, Ostreidae. The transcript has 2 exons.